AUGAGUCGCCGAUUUUCAGGAAUGGCUACUGAUUUGUUUUGUACUCAUAGAAUCCUCUUUGCCCUGUUGGAGAAAGGAGGAAUAACCAUCAUUAGAGAGCUAGAAAGUAGAGGUUCUGUUCAGAAACUAGCCAAAAUAUUGCUGAAAGCUAGUGGAGGAGAGCUUUUGAACGACAUCUUGGCAGAUAUAAUGGACAGGUAUUCCAAACACGACAGCAAGGAAUCACUUCGGAGAACAAUCAUGGAACAUGAUGAGGUCUUCAGGCAACAGGUGCAUGAACUGCAUCGGCUAUACAGGGUACAGAAAGCACUGAUGGCUGAAUUACGUGGUGAGAACAGUUUCCAACUCAGAACAGAAGAUACUCGAGAAAUGGUGCAGGGCCACAGGCCAAACCUCAAGAAUAGCUCUUGUAUGUCAGAGACUAGUCAAUCUGCUUGUCUUGGAAACGCACAGUACUCUGAUACUAGGCAAUUACCUGAACAGUCGUUUCUUCAAGAAUGCAAGCCAGUGUCAUGCUUAAACCUCUUCGACGAAGAAACUUCAAGAAGCCAAGAAAGAAGACCAGAAAGCAGUAAAUCAGUUGAAGGUGAAAGUUGGAGUGUUUCUAUGGAAGGUGAUCUCGAUCUCAAACUAAGCAUUGCCCCCAGUUCAAAUGCAACAAAAGCACCACACUGGCUCUUCUCCAACAGCAGGGAAAGAAACCCUUCUGGUCAGCAUCGAUGA
RNAcentral lists this ribosomal RNA (723 nucleotides) under Triticum aestivum (bread wheat). Its description in RNAcentral is "partial small subunit ribosomal RNA". The record is from RNAcentral. Lineage: Eukaryota; Viridiplantae; Streptophyta; Magnoliopsida; Poales; Poaceae.